UGGGGAAUCUUGCGCAAUGGGCGAAAGCCUGACGCAGCGACGCCGCGUGAGGGAAGAAGGCCUUCGGGUUGUAAACCUCUUUCAGGAGGGACGAAGCCACUCGGGUUAAUAGCCCAGAGGGUGACGGUACCUCCAGAAGAAGCCCCGGCUAACUACGUGCCAGCAGCCGCGGUAAUACGUAGGGGGCGAGCGUUGUCCGGAUUUAUUGGGCGUAAAGAGCGUGUAGGCGGCCCGACAGGUCCGUUGUGAAACUCGAGGCUCAACCUCGAGACGUCGAUGGAAACCGUCGGGCUAGAGUCCGGAAGAGGAGAGUGGAAUUCCUGGUGUAGCGGUGGAAUGCGCAGAUAUCAGGAGGAACACCCGUGGCGAAAGCGGCUCUCUGGGACGGUACUGACGCUGAGACGCGAAAGCGUGGGAGCGAACAGGAUUAGAUACCCUGGUAGUCCACGCCGUAAACGAUGGGUGCUAGGUGUGGGCGGUGUCGACUCCGUCCGUGCCGAAGCUAACGCAUUAAG
This 515-nucleotide ribosomal RNA is filed under the name uncultured Actinomycetes bacterium. RNAcentral's name for it is "bacterial SSU rRNA". It matches the Rfam family "Bacterial small subunit ribosomal RNA", at positions 355 to 864 of the family's 1533-position model. Lineage: Bacteria; Bacillati; Actinomycetota; Actinomycetes. The record is from RNAcentral.